This 265-nucleotide ribosomal RNA is filed under the name uncultured bacterium. RNAcentral describes it as "partial 16S ribosomal RNA". It matches the Rfam family "Bacterial small subunit ribosomal RNA", at positions 29 to 289 of the family's 1533-position model. The record is from RNAcentral.
AUGAACGCUGGCGGCGUGCUUAACACAUGCAAGUCGAACGAUUAAAGCUCACUUCGGUGAGUGUAUAGAGUGGCGAACGGGUGAGUAACACGUGGGAAACCUGCCCCUUUCUUCGGGAUAACUUCGGGAAACCGUUGCUAAUACCGGAUACUCCGGGAUGGUCGCAUGGCCGACCCGGGAAAGCUUUAUGUGGAAAGGGAUGGUCCCGCGGCCCAUUAGCCUUGUUGGUGGGGUAAUGGCCUACCAAGGCGAUGAUGGGUAGCCG